GCCUCUGUAGCUCAGUUUGGUAGAGCCCUGCACAAGAAUCCCAUGCAGGGGCGCAGUUUCAAUUCCUGCCAUGGACC
This is a non-coding RNA of Paramuricea clavata, 77 nucleotides long. The record is from the annotation of a GenBank genome assembly. NCBI's taxonomy places the organism in Eukaryota, Metazoa, Cnidaria, Anthozoa, Malacalcyonacea, Plexauridae.